This 510-nucleotide ribosomal RNA is filed under the name uncultured bacterium. RNAcentral describes it as "partial 16S ribosomal RNA". It matches the Rfam family "Bacterial small subunit ribosomal RNA", at positions 355 to 881 of the family's 1533-position model. The record is from RNAcentral.
UGGGGAAUAUUGCACAAUGGGCGAAAGCCUGAUGCAGCAACGCCGCGUGAGUGAUGAAGGUCUUCGGAUUGUAAAGCUCUGUCUUUUGGGACGAUAAUGACGGUACCAAAGGAGGAAGCCACGGCUAACUACGUGCCAGCAGCCGCGGUAAUACGUAGGUGGCGAGCGUUGUCCGGAUUUACUGGGCGUAAAGGGUGCGUAGGCGGAUGUUUAAGUGAGAUGUGAAAUACCCGGGCUUAACUUGGGUGCUGCAUUUCAAACUGGAUAUCUAGAGUGCAGGAGAGGAGAAUGGAAUUCCUAGUGUAGCGGUGAAAUGCGUAGAGAUUAGGAAGAACACCAGUGGCGAAGGCGAUUCUCUGGACUGUAACUGACGCUGAGGCACGAAAGCGUGGGUAGCAAACAGGAUUAGAUACCCUGGUAGUCCACGCCGUAAACGAUGAGUACUAGGUGUAGGAGGUNUCGACCCCUUCUGUGCCGCAGUAAACACAUUAAGUACUCCGCCUGGGAAGU